RNAcentral lists this transfer RNA (72 nucleotides) under Myotis muricola. Its description in RNAcentral is "tRNA-Asn". It matches the Rfam family "tRNA". From Rfam's summary of the family: Transfer RNA (tRNA) molecules are approximately 80 nucleotides in length. Their secondary structure includes four short double-helical elements and three loops (D, anti-codon, and T loops). The record is from RNAcentral. Lineage: Eukaryota; Metazoa; Chordata; Mammalia; Chiroptera; Vespertilionidae.
UAGAUUGAAGCCAGUGUUUAGGGUUUUUAGCUGUUAACUAAUGUUUCGUGGGUUUAAAUCCCACCAAUCUAG